Molecule: ribosomal RNA, 373 nt
Filed under: uncultured organism
Description: partial 16S ribosomal RNA
Rfam family: Bacterial small subunit ribosomal RNA
Source: RNAcentral
GUAGGUGGCAAGCGUUGUCCGGAAUUAUUGGGCGUAAAGCGCGCGCAGGUGGUUCUUUAAGUCUGAUGUGAAAGCCCCCGGCUCAACCGGGGAGGGUCAUUGGAAACUGGGGAACUUGAGUGCAGGAGAGGAAAGUGGAAUUCCACGUGUAGCGGUGAAAUGCGUAGAUAUGUGGAGGAACACCAGUGGCGAAGGCGACUUUCUGGCCUGUAACUGACACUGAGGCGCGAAAGCGUGGGGAGCAAACAGGGAUUAGAUACCCUGGUAGUCCACGCAGUAAACGAUGAGUGCUAAGUGUUGGGGGGGUUUCCGCCCCCUCAGUGCUGCAGCUAACGCAUUAAGCACUCCGCCUGGGAGUACGGUCGCAAGACUG